CCAUAGGCCGCCGCCUGCAGGAUCGUGGUCUUGUAGUGGAAACAAUUCACCUUGUCUCGGAAUCGGACCUCACUCGUGCACUGCAGGAUGUUAAAGAUGACGGUUCCCCCUUUUGUAUUCUCGUGGAGCAAUCUAAUGUGAAAUAUUCCUCUUGUACCGUAAUCAUGCUUCAUGAAUCCAUCAAAAUACAUCGGCAUAUGCCCCUGGAGGAUGCACUGGUUCUGGUGGUUAAAGAAUUGAAGAGAUUUUUCACUGGACAAAGCGCUGGAAUUUCUCAGAGGGCUACUGAACUGGUGGAUGACUUCCUGGCCCGUGAGCACCUGGCCAGUUACUCUGUUCCAUCUAGCAUUUGUCAUCUUCUUUUCCUGUUGCGUGAGGGGAAGCAUUUGUACAGUGACGAGCUGGGCCUGAUCAUGGACUACCUGGCAAUCAGGAAAGAGCAACUGCAAGGUACGUGGCAUUAUGCCUUCCCUUCUGAGUUCUGAACUAUGUGUGGAAGAAAACUAUGUUUUUCAUUCAGAGAGAGAGAGAGAGAGAGAGAGAGAGAGAGAGAGAGUGUGUGUAUGAUACAAAAGGAUGAUCUGCAUGGGUU
RNAcentral lists this long non-coding RNA (592 nucleotides) under Cricetulus griseus (Chinese hamster). RNAcentral's name for it is "lncRNA (ENSCGRG00000026228.1)". Lineage: Eukaryota; Metazoa; Chordata; Mammalia; Rodentia; Cricetidae. The record is from RNAcentral.